RNAcentral lists this ribosomal RNA (2919 nucleotides) under Bacillus cereus. RNAcentral's name for it is "23S ribosomal RNA". It matches the Rfam family "Bacterial large subunit ribosomal RNA". The record is from RNAcentral. Lineage: Bacteria; Bacillati; Bacillota; Bacilli; Caryophanales; Bacillaceae.
GGUUAAGUUAGAAAGGGCGCACGGUGGAUGCCUUGACACUAGGAGUCGAUGAAGGACGGGACUAACGCCGAUAUGCUUCGGGGAGCUGUAAGUAAGCUUUGAUCCGAAGAUUUCCGAAUGGGGAAACCCACCAUACGUAAUGGUAUGGUAUCCUUAUCUGAAUACAUAGGGUAAGGAAGACAGACCCAGGGAACUGAAACAUCUAAGUACCUGGAGGAAGAGAAAGCAAAUGCGAUUUCCUGAGUAGCGGCGAGCGAAACGGAACAUAGCCCAAACCAAGAGGCUUGCCUCUUGGGGUUGUAGGACAUUCUAUACGGAGUUACAAAGGAACGAGGUAGACGAAGCGACCUGGAAAGGUCCGUCGUAGAGGGUAACAACCCCGUAGUCGAAACUUCGUUCUCUCUUGAAUGUAUCCUGAGUACGGCGGAACACGUGAAAUUCCGUCGGAAUCUGGGAGGACCAUCUCCCAAGGCUAAAUACUCCCUAGUGAUCGAUAGUGAACCAGUACCGUGAGGGAAAGGUGAAAAGCACCCCGGAAGGGGAGUGAAAGAGAUCCUGAAACCGUGUGCCUACAAAUAGUCAGAGCCCGUUAACGGGUGAUGGCGUGCCUUUUGUAGAAUGAACCGGCGAGUUACGAUCCCGUGCGAGGUUAAGCUGAAGAGGCGGAGCCGCAGCGAAAGCGAGUCUGAAUAGGGCGUUUAGUACGUGGUCGUAGACCCGAAACCAGGUGAUCUACCCAUGUCCAGGGUGAAGUUCAGGUAACACUGAAUGGAGGCCCGAACCCACGCACGUUGAAAAGUGCGGGGAUGAGGUGUGGGUAGCGGAGAAAUUCCAAUCGAACCUGGAGAUAGCUGGUUCUCCCGAAAUAGCUUUAGGGCUAGCCUUAAGUGUAAGAGUCUUGGAGGUAGAGCACUGAUUGGACUAGGGGUCCUCAUCGGAUUACCGAAUUCAGUCAAACUCCGAAUGCCAAUGACUUAUCCUUAGGAGUCAGACUGCGAGUGAUAAGAUCCGUACUCCAAAGGCGAACAGCCCAGACCGCCAGCUAAGGUCCCAAAGUGUGUAUUAAGUGGAAAAGGAUGUGGAGUUGCUUAGACAACUAGGAUGUUGGCUUAGAAGCAGCCACCAUUUAAAGAGUGCGUAAUAGCUCACUAGUCGAGUGACUCUGCGCCGAAAAUGUACCGGGGCUAAAUACACCACCGAAGCUGCGGAUUGAUACCGAAUGGUAUCAGUGGUGGGGAGCGUUCUAAGGACAGUGAAGUCAGACCGGAAGGACUGGUGGAGUGCUUAGAAGUGAGAAUGCCGGUAUGAGUAGCGAAAGACGGGUGAGAAUCCCGUCCACCGAAUGCCUAAGGUUUCCUGAGGAAGGCUCGUCCGCUCAGGGUUAGUCAGGACCUAAGCCGAGGCCGACAGGCGUAGGCGAUGGACAACAGGUUGAUAUUCCUGUACCACCUCUUUAUCGUUUGAGCAAUGGAGGGACGCAGAAGGAUAGAAGAAGCGUGCGAUUGGUUGUGCACGUCCAAGCAGUUAGGCUGAUAAGUAGGCAAAUCCGCUUAUCGUGAAGGCUGAGCUGUGAUGGGGAAGCUCCUUAUGGAGCGAAGUCUUUGAUUCCCCGCUGCCAAGAAAAGCUUCUAGCGAGAUAAAAGGUGCCUGUACCGCAAACCGACACAGGUAGGCGAGGAGAGAAUCUUAAGGUGUGCGAGAGAACUCUGGUUAAGGAACUCGGCAAAAUGACCCCGUAACUUCGGGAGAAGGGGUGCUUUCUUAACGGAAAGCCGCAGUGAAUAGGCCCAAGCGACUGUUUAGCAAAAACACAGCUCUCUGCGAAGCCGUAAGGCGAAGUAUAUGGGGUGACACCUGCCCGGUGCUGGAAGGUUAAGGAGAGGGGUUAGCGUAAGCGAAGCUCUGAACUGAAGCCCCAGUAAACGGCGGCCGUAACUAUAACGGUCCUAAGGUAGCGAAAUUCCUUGUCGGGUAAGUUCCGACCCGCACGAAAGGUGUAACGAUUUGGGCACUGUCUCAACCAGAGACUCGGUGAAAUUAUAGUACCUGUGAAGAUGCAGGUUACCCGCGACAGGACGGAAAGACCCCGUGGAGCUUUACUGUAGCCUGAUAUUGAAUUUUGGUACAGUUUGUACAGGAUAGGCGGGAGCCUUUGAAACCGGAGCGCUAGCUUCGGUGGAGGCGCUGGUGGGAUACCGCCCUGACUGUAUUGAAAUUCUAACCUACGGGUCUUAUCGACCCGGGAGACAGUGUCAGGUGGGCAGUUUGACUGGGGCGGUCGCCUCCUAAAAUGUAACGGAGGCGCCCAAAGGUUCCCUCAGAAUGGUUGGAAAUCAUUCGUAGAGUGCAAAGGCAUAAGGGAGCUUGACUGCGAGACCUACAAGUCGAGCAGGGACGAAAGUCGGGCUUAGUGAUCCGGUGGUUCCGCAUGGAAGGGCCAUCGCUCAACGGAUAAAAGCUACCCCGGGGAUAACAGGCUUAUCUCCCCAAGAGUCCACAUCGACGGGAGGUUUGGCACCUCGAUGUCGGCUCAUCGCAUCCUGGGGCUGUAGUCGGUCCCAAGGGUUGGGCUGUUCGCCCAUUAAAGCGGUACGCGAGCUGGGUUCAGAACGUCGUGAGACAGUUCGGUCCCUAUCCGUCGUGGGCGUAGGAAAUUUGAGAGGAGCUGUCCUUAGUACGAGAGGACCGGGAUGGACGCACCGCUGGUGUACCAGUUGUUCUGCCAAGGGCAUAGCUGGGUAGCUAUGUGCGGAAGGGAUAAGUGCUGAAAGCAUCUAAGCAUGAAGCCCCCCUCAAGAUGAGAUUUCCCAUAGCGUAAGCUAGUAAGAUCCCUGAAAGAUGAUCAGGUUGAUAGGUUCGAGGUGGAAGCAUGGUGACAUGUGGAGCUGACGAAUACUAAUAGAUCGAGGACUUAACCAU